RNAcentral lists this transfer RNA (78 nucleotides) under Marmota monax (woodchuck). RNAcentral's name for it is "tRNA.Ser". Lineage: Eukaryota; Metazoa; Chordata; Mammalia; Rodentia; Sciuridae. The record is from RNAcentral.
GGGCUUGUAGCUCAGUGGUAGAGCGCUUGCCUUGAGUCUAGCACGUGUGAGAUACUGGGUUCGAUCCUCAGCAGCACA